This is a long non-coding RNA of Mastomys coucha (southern multimammate mouse), 944 nucleotides long. RefSeq lists it as uncharacterized. NCBI's taxonomy places the organism in Eukaryota, Metazoa, Chordata, Mammalia, Rodentia, Muridae. The record is from RefSeq and is a predicted model, not a curated record. The transcript has 3 exons.
CUCCGUCAUGAACCAGGCAGCUGUGACUCUAAGACCUCUAGACUACAUGGGUCCAGUAACCCUGGAACACAGCACGAGAGAAGCCAGCAUCCAGAGAUGUCCAGGCAAGAUGAGCAGCUUUGCAUCUUCUCCCAUCAUGAAGUGCUCUCUCUAUGGGCCCAGAAACAGCCAAGCAACUGUGGACUGAGACCUUUGAAACUAUGAUCCAAGAUAAAACUUUAGGUUGAUUUUUCUCAGGCAUUUUGUCAGAGUAUCAGAAAAAAAAGCCAUCAAGGUUGAUCAAAGGAUACCAGUCUAAAUUCUGCUCUGAUUUCGUCAUGAUUUUGUCAUCGUAUGAAGCCUAGGGGAAGUCUCUGCUCUUUCUGUCUCUGUUGAUGCAAGUAAAUACUGAUCUAGAGGGUCCUGGUUGAGUGACAAGCCUCUAGGUCUAAACCAGCUUCUAUCUACCCCUCGUCUAGUCUGCUAAUCACCAUGAGAAAUAGCCCAAGAUGGAUGGGUUCAGAUGAUCUUACAUGUAGAACAUCUGAGCCAUGACCCUUUGGUAUUUGUAAGUCUGUAACACAUUCUCAGUUUGGGGGAUGGAACCCAGGGUUUCCCAUGUGCUAGGCCAAGUAAUGCAUUACUAAGACUCAUCACUAGUUAUCCCUGACAGUUUUGAACAUAUUUUGAUAAUUCACCACGUUUUAGGUACCUGUUUCUGGAGGGACCCAGAAAAUUCGCUUUUCCAGCCUUCCUUGAAUCUAGGUGCAGGGCUGGGCACUUCAAGAGUGUGCACAUGCUUGGCUCUGGGCUAAUCUCUUGAAACUCAGUAAAGAAUCUACUCUGAAGAGCCACCCCAUCUACAGCAAAGACUUUGAUGAUAAGAAACAACAGCUAGAGAAAUGUAAUUUCCAAUUCAUAUCCUCUAAUGGGUCUUCUCUCACUUAAUAAAAUUGUUCACUGCA